Molecule: ribosomal RNA, 1419 nt
Filed under: uncultured organism
Description: bacterial SSU rRNA
Rfam family: Bacterial small subunit ribosomal RNA
Source: RNAcentral
UGAACGCUAGCGGCGCGCUUAUGCAUGCAAGUCGAGCGAUGAGGCUCCUUCGGGGGUACAUCAGCGGCAGACGGGUGAGUACGCGUAUGUGACUACCCUCGAGACGGGGAUAACGGCUGGAAACAGUCGCUAAUACCCGAUAGACUUACCAGGGUCAAGCGGUAAGAAAAGCUACGGUGCUUGGGGAGGGGCCUGCGGCCCAUCAGCUAGUUGGUAGGGUAACGGCCUACCAAGGCGAAGACGGGUAGGGGGUGUGAGAGCACGAGCCCCCACAAUGGGACUGCGACACGGCCCAUACUCCUACGGGAGGCAGCAGCAGGGAAUAUUGCACCAAUGGACGGAAGUCUGAUGCAGCGACGCCGCGUGAGUGAAGACGGCCUUCGGGUUGUAAAGCUCUUUUACGGGGGACGAGGAAGGACGGUACCCUGGGAAGAAGUGUCGGCUAACUACGUGCCAGCAGCCGCGGUAAGACGUAGGACACAAGCGUUAUCCGGAGUUACUGGGCGUAAAGCGCCUGCAGGCGGCCUGGUAAGUUGGACGUGAAAGCCCCGUGCUUAACGCGGGGAGGUCGGACAAUACUGCCAAGCUAGAGUGCGUCAGAGGGGAGUGGAAUUUCCGGAGUAGCGGUAAAAUGCGCAGAUAUCGGAAGGAACACCAGUGGCGAAAGCGACUCCCUGGGGCGCGACUGACGCUAAGAGGCGAAAGCUAGGGGAGCGAACAGGAUUAGAGACCCUGGUAGUCCUAGCCCUAAACGAUGGAUGCUAGGUGUGGGACGUAAAGUUCCGUGCCGGAGCCAACGCGAUAAGCAUCCCGCCUGGGGACUACGGUCGCAAGGCUAAAACUCAAACGAAUUGACGGGGACCCGCACAAGCAGCGGAGCGUGUGGUUCAAUUCGAUGCUACACGAAGAACCUUACCUGGGUUUGACAUGUACGUGGUAGAGAAGCGAAAGCGGAUUGACCCUUCGGGGAGCGUACACAGGUGCUGCAUGGCUGUCGUCAGCUCGUGCCGUGAGGUGUCGGGUUAAGUCCCGUAACGAGCGCAACCCUUAUCCUUAGUUGCACGUAUCUAGGGAGACUGCCGGCGGGAAGCCGGAGGAAGGUGGGGAUGACGCCAAGUCAGCAUGGCCCUUAUGUCCAGGGCUACACACACGCUACAAUGGCCGGUACAAAGGGCAGCAAAGUCGCGAGGCGGAGCGAAUCCCAACAAAGCCGGUCGUAGUUCGGAUUGCAGGCUGCAACUCGCCUGCAUGAAGCUGGAGUUGCUAGUAACCGCGCGUCAGCUAUAGUGCGGUGAAUACGUACCCGGGUCUUGUACACACCGCCCGUCACGUCAUGGAAGUCGGUAACGCCUGAAGGCGGUAGCCUAGCUCGGAAGAGGGGGCGCUGUCGAAGGCGGGACUGGCAACUGGGACGAAGUC